This 164-nucleotide ribosomal RNA is filed under the name uncultured bacterium. Its description in RNAcentral is "partial 16S ribosomal RNA". It matches the Rfam family "Bacterial small subunit ribosomal RNA", at positions 355 to 511 of the family's 1533-position model. The record is from RNAcentral.
UAGGGAAUCUUCCACAAUGGACGCAAGUCUGAUGGAGCAACGCUGCGUGAGUGAAGAAGGGUUUCGGCUCGUAAAGCUCUGUUGUUAAAGAAGAACGUGGGUAAGAGUAACUGUUUACCCAGUGACGGUAUUUAACCAGAAAGCCACGGCUAACUACGUGCCAG